Molecule: ribosomal RNA, 51 nt
Filed under: Chenopodium quinoa (quinoa)
Lineage: Eukaryota; Viridiplantae; Streptophyta; Magnoliopsida; Caryophyllales; Amaranthaceae
Source: RNAcentral
GAGUAGUACUAGGAUGGGUGACCUCCUGGGAUGUCCUCGUGUUGCACCCCU